UUACAAGAUGCUUUGGUGCCUUCGGGAACUCUGAGACAGGUGCUGCAUGGCUGUCGUCAGCUCGUGUUGUGAAAUGUUGGGUUAAGUCCCGCAACGAGCGCAACCCUUAUCCUUUGUUGCCAGCGGUUCAGGCCGGGAACUCAAAGGAGACUGCCAGUGAUAAACUGGAGGAAGGUGGGGAUGACGUCAAGUCAUCAUGGCCCUUACGAGUAGGGCUACACACGUGCUACAAUGGCAUAUACAAAGAGAAGCGACCUCGCGAGAGCAAGCGGACCUCAUAAAGUAUGUCGUAUCCGGAUUGGAGUCUGCAACUCGACUCCAUGAAGUCGGAAUCGCUAGUAAUCGUGGAUCAAAUGCCACGGUGAAUACGUUCCCGGGUCUUGUACACACCCGGA
This 395-nucleotide ribosomal RNA is filed under the name uncultured bacterium. Its description in RNAcentral is "bacterial SSU rRNA". It matches the Rfam family "Bacterial small subunit ribosomal RNA", at positions 998 to 1397 of the family's 1533-position model. The record is from RNAcentral.